GACUGUUAAACUACCUGCUGGAAUGCUGAUAGAUGUGAAGGUGCUUGGUCCAGAGGCGUUGUUGCACGUUCAUGAUGGAUACAGUGUAACUCAGUGGAAAAGUCUCAAUGCCUUGUUUGUCAAAUUUUCCCAAUCAAAUGUGGAGUAUGGCAGUCUCUCGCUUCAACUGGUUUAUCAGAACUCUGCUGGAGAGUUGUCCACCACAUUGGUAUCGUGUUUCCCUCAGCCUUUCAAGUCAAGAAAUGUAGAAGAACCUUUUGGGGAUUUAUGGGGAUUCCCAAAUAUUCCCACUGCACCCUAUAUGAUAGAUCAGACCCCAGUCAUCACCAAUGUUCCUUCAACAUCUGUAGCAUCCACCCCACUAGGAGCUUUUUGCUUGUGGGGCUUCCCAUUCAUUCCUACUGGAGCUUUUAUUCCUUGUAAAGAAUCAACAACUCCAGCCACUACAACAACAACAACUCCAGCCACUACGGCAGCCGCAACUGCAGCUGCCACUACGACAACAGCCACUGCCACUACAACUGCAGACACCACAGAGACAACACCUGCCACCACAACAGCCGCUGCCACCACUACCGCAGCCCCUGCCACCAUAACUGUAGACGCCACUACGACUGCAGCUGAAAUUACAACAGACCCUGCCACCACAACUGCAGACACCAAUACGACUACUACCACAACUUUAGCUUCCACUACGACAGUCUCUGCCACCACAGCAACAGCAGCCGCCAGCGCAACUGUAGCCGCCACUACGACUACAGCAGCCACCACAACAGCAGCCGCUGCCACCACAACAGCAGCCGCUGCCACCACAACUUAUGCUGGUACCACAAGAGCAGCAUCUGCAACAACAACAGCAGCUGCCACUACGACUGCUAACACAACAGCAGCUGCCACUACGACGACAGCCCCUGCCACCACAACUGUAGACACCACUACAACUACUACCACAACUGCAGCUUCCACUACAAUAGCCUCUGCCACCAUAGCAACAGCAGUCGGCAGCACAACUGUAGCCGCCACUACAACUACAGCAGCCACUACAACAGUAGCAACUGCCACCACAACUCCAGCUGGUACCACAAGAGCUGCAACCACAACUGCAGCCGCCACUACGACAGCUGCCACUUUGACAACACCCCCUGCCACCACAACUUUAGCCGCUACCACAACAGCUGCCACUGCAAAUACAAGUGCAUAUGCUACCACAGCUGCAGCUGCCCCUAUGACAACAGCUGCUACCACCACAGCUGCAGCUGCCACUAUGACGACAGCCACUACCACCACAACUGCAGCUGACACCACAACUGCAGCUGACACCACUACUGCAGCCUCUGCCAGCAUAACUAAGGACGCCACUACGACAGCCCCUGCCACCACAACUGGACACACCACUAAGACAGCCCAUGCCACCAACUCUUUAGCCGCUACAAGAACAGCAGCCAUUGCAACCACAAGUGCAGCUGCCACUAUGACGACAGCCGCUGACACCACAACUGCAUUUGCCACCACGACAACAGCCAUUGCCACCACUACGACAGCCCCUGCCACCGUAACUGCAGCCACUAAUAGGAUAGCCCCUGCCAACACAACUGCAGACAUUACCACAACUGUAGGUUCCACUAUGACAGUCCCUGCCACCACAGCAACAGCAGCUGCCACCAUAACUGUAGCCACCACUAUGAAUACAGCAGCCACUACAACAGUAACAACUGCAACCACAACUGCAGCUGCCCCUACGACAACAGCCGCUACUACCACAGCUGCAGCUGCCACUAUGACGACAGCCACUGCCACCACAACUGUAGCUGACACCACAACUGCAGCUGACACCACAACUGCAGCCCCUGCCACCAUAACUAAGGACGCCACUACGACAGCCCCUGCCACCACAAUUGGAGACACCACUAAGACAGCCCAUGCCACCAAAACUUUAACUGCU
This 1942-nucleotide long non-coding RNA is filed under the name Salmo salar (Atlantic salmon). RNAcentral describes it as "lncRNA (ENSSSAG00000086154.1)". Lineage: Eukaryota; Metazoa; Chordata; Actinopteri; Salmoniformes; Salmonidae. The record is from RNAcentral.